GGGGACGAACCUGGUUUCGACUGCUGUGACAUCGAAUUCAGGAUUGCAUGCAGAGUUGAGGAACUCUUAAAAACCUCACCCAAUAACUGCCAACAACGAAAUGGCACUGGCUGCAUAAUUUAGCAACCAGCGCUCUCCCGGACUUCUCCUUCGGGGUCCGAUGAGAGUGUCAUAACACGGAGGAUGAGUCGAUCGGGUGCGGACUGCCGUUCGACAAACUUUUACAGCUCGCAGGGCGAUGGCCAGUCGGUCGGCGGAUCGGUCAGCGUUCCUUUAAUGACAGCCGACUAAGCAUGUAGUGGUUCUGGUUUCGCACCGUAGGACGCGGGUUCGACUCCCGCCGUCUCCACAU
This 352-nucleotide transfer-messenger RNA is filed under the name Leptospiraceae bacterium. It matches the Rfam family "transfer-messenger RNA". From Rfam's summary of the family: Bacterial tmRNA, also known as 10Sa RNA or SsrA, is named for its dual tRNA and mRNA-like properties. The record is from RNAcentral. RNAcentral also lists the same sequence under 1 other name. Lineage: Bacteria; Pseudomonadati; Spirochaetota; Leptospiria; Leptospirales; Leptospiraceae.